Molecule: long non-coding RNA, 1003 nt
Filed under: Numida meleagris (helmeted guineafowl)
Lineage: Eukaryota; Metazoa; Chordata; Aves; Galliformes; Numididae
Description: lncRNA (ENSNMEG00000001944.1)
Source: RNAcentral
GUCCCCCUGUCCCCGUGUCCCCAUGUCCGUCUGUCCCCGCAGAGGGCCGCUCUCUGAAGGACGAGGACGUGCUGCAGUCUCUCCCCGUGGGCACCACGGCCACCUUCUACUUCCGGGACCUGGGGGCGCAGAUCAGCUGGGUGACGGUGCGCGGCCGCCUGUCCGUCUGUCCGUCCGUGUCCCCCUGUCCGUCCGUGUCCCCCUGUCCGUCCAUGUCCCCCUGUCCAUCCGUGUCCCCCUGUCCGUCCCUGUGUCUAUCCUAUGUCCCUCUGGCCCCCUGUCCAUCCCACGUCCCUGUGUCCCUCUGCCCACCCCUGUGUCCGCCCGUGUCCCCCCUAUCCAUCGAUUGUCCUUCUGUCCGUCCCUCUGUCCAUCCCCUUGUCCAUCCUGUGUCCUUCUGUCCGCCCGUGUCCCUCUGUCCCUCUGUCCAUCCCACAUGCCUCUGUUCCUCUGUCCAUCCCUUUGUCCAUCCCACGUCUCUCUGUCCCUCUGUCCAUCCCUCUGUCCAUCCCAUGUCCCUCUGUCCGUCCCUCUCUCUGUCCAUUCCUCCAUCCUUCCCCGUGUCCCUCUGUCCAUCCCACGUCCCUCUGUCCAUUUCAUCAUCCCUGCCUGUGUCCCUCUGUCCAUCUCUCCAUCCUUCCCUGUGUCCCUCUGUCCAUCCCACGUCCCUCUGUCCAUCCCUCCAUCCCUCCCCGUGUCCCUCUGUCCAUCCCGUGUCCCUCUGUCCGUCCCUCUCUCUGUCCAUUCCUCCAUCCUUCGCUGUGUCCCUCUGUCCAUCCCACGUCCCUCUGUCCAUCCCUCCAUCCCUCCCCGUGUCCCUCUGUCCGUCCCUCUCUCUGUCCAUUCCUCCAUCCCUCUCCGUGUCCCUCUGUCCAUCCCACGUCCCUCUGUCCAUUCCUCCAUCCCUACCCGUGUCCCUCUGUCCAUCCCGUGUCCCUCUGUCCGUCCCUCUCUCUGUCCAUCCCUCCAUCCCUCCCUGUGUCCCUCUGUCCAUCCCACGUCC